GCAUGCAAAGACAGUGAUGGUGGUGGAAGAUAUGUUUCCUGCAACUGGCUCCUUUCAGGAAACAGAAUGUGUGUUUUGUGUGGAGACACUGUUUAACUAUCCAAAGACCAGCUGGACUAACAAGCUCAUCAGUUGCAUAUUCCUGCAUUGCAGAAGGUUGGACUAGAUGAUCCUCAGGAUCCCUUCCAACUCAACGAUUCGACGAUUCUAUUGCAAGAAGUGACAGUCCUAUCAGAAGAUUAUAGAGAAACUGAAUGCCAGGUUCACCCAGGGAUCAUCCACAGACACCGGAACAUCUGAUGAUCCUUCAGUCUCUUUUCAGUUUCACGUUUGAUAGUUGCAGUGAGUAGCUUUGUACUGUAAGUGGCGAAGAAUCUCCUCCAACCCUUUUUCGCUGCAAACGAAUAGCCACUUACUGAAUUUAACAUUUAUGUUAAUAGCCUUCCUCAGCCCAACUAAAUAUGAUUGAAAUUCUUCCAGGGAAGGAGCAAUCUUCAAAGUCUAUAACAGAUUUCUCUGUCCUGACUCUUCCAACAUUCAGCUUCAUUAGAAGCUGAGUUGAAUUGAAUCUCUAGUUGGCUGCUAGUAUAUUACUAAGCUAAAGCCAGAUAUUAUUGCUACUGUAUAAAUCCAAUGGACCAGUCAACUGGUUGGGUUGUCUCAUAAACCCGAACUUCUAUUAGCUCAUGUGAGUAUCUCAUGGCUUACCUCGGUGUUAGAGACCUCCAUUGGAUGCCAAUGAAUCUAUAGUUCUGAGGCAGUGUGGUGUAGUAAUCAGAGAGUUGGACAGGGGCCUAGGACACAAGGGUUUAAAUUCCCACUUAAAGUCCAAACUUCUAGUAUUAUUACUGGGAAGGAGGAAAACUUUUCCUAUCCAUAUUAUCCACACCAUGCAGGACUUCAUACACCUCUAUCAAGUCCUGCCUUGCUGGUCUUGGUCCAUCAUAGCUAUUCUAUAGUUCCCUGGACUUGAGAGUCACAUCAUUGAGUUCUCACAAACACGUUUUGCUUUGGCUAUUCUAUGGUUUCUUUCUUUCUUUCUUUUAAAUAAUUUUUAUUAGAUUUUCCACUUAAAUCAUAUUCACAUUUUUUACAUACUUCUAUAACUUAAUAUAUUACUCUGUAAGAGCAUCAACAUCCUUCCCUCCCUCUUUCUGACUUCCACAUAUCUUUCUCUAUUUUUCACAUUUCUAUAAUCACUUAUUUACCCUUUGUCAAAUUAUAAUAUUUCACCUUCUUGUCGGUAAACCAGUUCCUUAUAUUUACAUUACAAAAUAUUUCAAUUCAGGCCUACAAAGGUUUUCAAAUGUUUAUAAUUUUCUUUCACAUAAAAUAUAAAUUUGUUCCAGUCCUUUUGAAACAGUUUGUCACGCUGAUUCCGGAUCUUCCCCGUCAACUUGGCCAUCUCUACAUACUCCACCACCUUGACCUGCCAAUCUUCCAGUGUUGGGAGUUCCUGCUGCUUCUGUUUCUGAGCCAGAAGUGUUCUCGCAGCCGUUGUGGCAUACAUAAACAUGUUUACCUCUCUUUUAUGUAUUUCUUUUUUUUUUUUAAUAAUUUUUAUUAAGGUUUUAGACAAUAAAGAAAGAGGAAAAAAACAUACACAAUACAUAUAACAACAACACACACAAAAAGCAACACAAAAUUCAACAAUAAAAAAAACAAAAAACAUAACAAUUAAAAACAAUAUCUCUUUUCCAUUUCCAUUUUUAAAUUACUUACUUUCUGGACUUCCUCAUACCUCCCUCUUUUGUAUUCCAAUCCAAAUUAUUUGUCCAGCAGUUUCUUUUCCACUUUUUUAAUCCCAAACUUUAAUUUAAUAAAAUAUUAAAAUAUAUAACUUCAACUUCUUUAAACCUAAUCCUUGGUCUUAGUAUCAUAUAACAUUAAAAUUUUCCCUCUUAAUAUCAAAUUUCCAUUUCUUUAAACAUCUUUAAUCUUAAUCUUUAAUCUUAGUCUAUCAUUAACUUUAACCUGUACAGCUGGAAACCACUUAUUUUCAAUCCAACAUCACUCUAACAUUCUUUAAUUUUGCAGUGUUUCUGAAGAUAGUCUUUGAAUUUCUUCCAAUCUUCCUCCAUCGACUCUUCUCCCUGGUCACAGAUUCUACCAGUCAUUUCCGCCAAUUCCAUAUAGUCCAUAAGUUUCAUCUGCCAUUCCUCCAGCGUGGGAAGUUCUUGUGUCUUCCAAUACUUUGCGAUAAGUAUUCUUGCUGCUGUUGUUGCAUACAUAAAGAAAGUUCUAUCCUUUUUUAUCACCAUUUGGCCGACCAUGCCCAGGAGAAAGGCCUCUGGUUUCUUAGGGAAGGUAUACUUAAAUACCUUUUUUAAUUCAUUAUAUAUCAUUUCCCAGAAAGCCUUAAUCUUGGGGCACGUCCACCAAAGGUGGAAAAAUGUACCUUCAGUUUCUUUACAUUUCCAACAUUUGUUAUCGGGCAAAUGAUAGAUUUUUGCAAGCUUGACUGGGGUUAUGUACCACCUGUAUAUCAUUUUCAUAAUAUUCUCUCUUAAGGCAUUACAUGCCAUAAAUUUCAUACCUGUGGUCCAUAACUGUUCCCAGUCAGCAAACAUAAUAUUAUGUCCAACGUCCUGUGCCCAUUUAAUCAUAGCCGAUUUAACCGUUUCAUCCUGACUAUUCCAUUUCAGCAGCAAGUUAUACAUUCUUGACAAAUUCUUAGUUUUGGGUUCUAACAAUUCUGUUUCCAAUUUGGAUCUUUCCACCUGGAAGCCAAUUUUCCUGUCCAAUUUAAAUGCCUCCAUUAUCUGAUAAUAAUGAAGCCAGUCUCUCUUUUAUGUAUUUCUUCACCAAUUAAACCUAAUAAAAAUGCCUCUGGUUUUUUAUUGAACUUAUAUUUCAAAACCUUUUUUAACUCAUUAUAUAUUAUAUCCCAGAAGGCUUCCACUUUGGAGCAAGUCCACCACACGUGGAGGAAAUUCUUCUCCUUACACUUCCAACAUUUUUUGUCUUGAUUUCUAUACAUUUUAGCAAGUUUGGCAGGUGUGAUAUACCAUCGGUACAUCAUCUUAAAUACAUUUUCUUUGAGUGACACACAUGCUGUAAAUUUGAUUUAGUCCACAGUUUUUCCCACCUUUCAGAAUCAAUCAGAUCCUGGGCCCACCUAAUCAUAACGCUAGAUACGCUAUAGUUUCUUGGACUUUACUGAAGUUAACGUUUCCUCAGGUUUAGCAGGGCCCAGAUUGAGAGUCCCAUGAGUUCUCACAAACAUGUUUUGCUCUGGCUCUGCAGCUGCCCAUUGAGUCACACAUCGAUUCCAGGGAGUUGCAGAGGAGGUGGACCUUCUUAACCUUAUAAUUAUCAAAUCAUGGUGAUUUGUUUAUCUAGUCCAGGGAUUUCCCCAACGAUGACCUUGGAGUCCACAAAUAACAAAACAUCAGAAUCACAGGCAGCAUCAGAUAACUUAUUGUCACAAGCCUGAAUGAAGAACUGGGUCAUAAAUAUCAGAAGCCUGGCCUGAGAGAUUUGGGGCUGGCAGGGCUUGUUUCUAUGGGAGGUUUCCUUUUUCUACCUUUGCUUCUGAAGCUACUGUAUGAGUUCAGCUGUGUUUCUAAUGUGACUGCUGCCACAAGAGUGUAUGACUCUUGCAGGCAUAACCAGGAUGAUAUUUCUGCCGCUGCUGUUUCUGCUGCUAAUGCCCCAUGGAGCCAGUAGGAUGCUGAAAGCAAAAUGCCCAUUGAACCGAAAUAUAGGAACUGAUCCGUUGAAUUAUUACAGGCCAGGAGACCACCUCAUUAGUCAGGUUAUAGUUCCAAACGUUUAUAUAACUUACCCAAUCAACUUUUCACGGCAUCCCAAAAACACUGUUAUGAUGUAAGUGACUUGAUGUUACCCAGUCUGCAUUCACAUUUAUUGCUGUUUUCCAGAGGCAGCAUCUAGUUUCUGGCCAUGCCCCUUGGUAUCCUGCAAACAAAGAGGUUGUUUCAGAACCCUUUCCCUAUUUUGGGCUUCAGUUUCAUUAAUGCAGCUAAAGCAUAGUUGAUCAUCUCAUGUGUCAUGAGAAAGGGUGUUUCUUCCUAGUCAAGUAUUAACAGCUUUGACAGCUUUGACAGCUUCCCCUAUUCCUUUUUCCCAACAAACUGUCUAAAUUAAAUGUCCCUGGUGGUGUUGGGUGUAUUUGGAUUACAACAUAUCUUAAAUAAGUUCUAAAUCCACGGUGCAGUCUUGCAUUUGCGGAUCAAAGAAAGUGUAAAAAUCGGAAUGUAAGGAUACCACCACCUUCCCUUCAAUCUCUCUGAAACGUUCAAAUCAGUAUAGGAACCUUACCAAGUAGUUCCACCACCCUCAGAAGUUAAGGUGGGAAGCCCAAGAGAGGACAUUUCUCUCUUUCAUAUCUUCUCAUCCUCUAAGUAGUUCCUGACAAAGAUUCUGCUCCUUCCUAGCUGCAGAGUUUGCCCCAAUAGAUAUAAAACCAGCAAGCUCCUCUUCUGUUCUUAUAGAGCAAGGAAUGUUACAAGUUGUUUUCAUUUAAUGGGGAAUGGGAAGCUAAAACAAUUUUUCGUGUAUUCAUUUAUUUGCAGUUGGUCAGCAUGGGACACCUCAGCAUUCCUCUCCAUCUUGUUUGCAACCCAAGAGAUCACCCGGUAUCUUAAGCAUUUAGCCAAUGUCACCCUGGGCUAUAGUAUCUAUGAGGCUGCUUUUGAUGUCAGGACAACUGCCGAUGCCAUGCUAGACAGUAUUCCAAAUUACAGCUGUGGAAGACAGAAUAACGUGUUGGCUGUUUUUGAAGCAACUUCUGAAAUCUCCCACCAAAUUUCAAGCAUGUUGGGCAUCUACAAAAUGCCCCAGGUAGGAAUUGGAAGGGAACAGAUCAAUUGUGUUUCACUCCUCUUUGCUGUCUCUCCAGCAGUGGUGAGGAACUACUUCAUCCUCCCAGAAGUUUCUUAACUGCAAAGCCAACCAUCUGGCCGUUAGCCAUGCUUGUGCGGACUGAUGGAAGUUGAACAAUAUCCUCAGGGCCAAAUUUUCCAGGGAACACAAAAGAGUAGCACCCAAAAAGAGAGACCAAAGGGGGGAAAUCACAUUGCAAGAAAGUGGAAAGCAAGUUAGAAAACCCUCAGCCACUUCCUAACUCCCUCCCCGGUUUGUCAAUAGGAAGAUGUGGUUGAAAGUAGCCCCUGGCCCCUAAAGGGUUCUUGUUUCUCAGGAAGACCAGUGGAUGUCUGACAGCUAACUGAACACAGAAGUUUAAGUACUUGCACACCUCCAUACUGAGCAGCUGCUUAGCCUCUGCCACUCAUUCUGUGUAGUACCCCAUUGUGACUCUAGGAAGAGGUAGGGGUGCCAUGACCACAAAAGGCCCAGAUGCCCUGCUCUGCCCCAGUGUCCAUUGGAGCCACUUCCUUCUCAGUAAACUCCAGGUCCUCUUCUGAACACGAUUCCUCCAUCAAAGGCAUGGCAUACAUCCAGAAGUAUCUGGUUAGCUACUGUGAGAAGAUGGGCCUUUUGCCUGGUCAUGCAAUGGGGCCUUUCUUGUGUAUUCCUGAAACCCUGACACCAUUCUUUUUCUUACUAGAUCAGUUUUGGCUCUGCUGCUCAGGAUCUGAAUGACAAAACCCAGUUCCCUUUUAUCUAUCGUAUGGUCCCCAAAGAAGAAAUCCAGCACAUGGGGAUUGUCAAGUUGUUGCUCCAUUUCGGGUGGACGUGGAUCGGUCUCUUUGUUCCAGACAAUGACAAUGGAGAAAGGUUCCUGAGUGCUUUCACACCUCCGCUGAUCCGCAGUGGAAUUUGUGUUGCUUUCUUGGAAAAAUUUCAUAUUUCGACCCUGGGACAAAUGUCAUCCUUACAUUGUAAACCAUCUGAUUUGAGACAAGUCAAGGUGUUUGUUUAUUAUGGGGACUCUGAGCACAGAAUUUAUCCAAUCGUACUGUUACAAAGAAUUCAUGAAGUGAGGAAAUCUCAGGGGAUAGUCUGGAUCACAAUAGAUCUUCUGGACAUUGAUGAGAUGUUGUUUGGUGGCAAAGAUUACUUCCAGCCUGCCCAUGGUUCUUUGUCCUUUGUAAUGAAUACCGAAAAAAGGACAGAACAGGGUUACUAUACUCGACUUUCAUUUGAAGCUAGAGCUGAAGCUGCACAGUUUUUCAAAAGAGUAUUCAGUUGUACAUGUUCAAACAAUGUGCUGUCCGUGGAGGGCUGGACAAGAUGCACAGAAAUAGAACAACAAGAAAGUUUGUCCAAGGAGGAGAUGGAGGCAAUCUGGUCUGAAGACCGCUACAGCACUUACUACGGCGUCCAACUUGUGGCCCAGGCCUUAAAUGUCGCAUAUUCCUCCAGAUCCAAAUGGAUGUUAAUGGCGAGUGGAGGAAACAGAUUGGAACUUCAAAGGUUGCAGCCAUGGCAGGUCUGUCCUCUAUGCAAAUACUCUAUGGAAUUCGUUUCAGAUUGUAUAUUCUUUGUAGUUUACGUCAUUGUUAUUGUUAAAUAUGUUUAGGUUUCCUAUGCACUGUAUUUAGUAGGACAUGUUAAUAUGUUUUUUUAAAUUGUUCAUCUAUUUUUGUGGUCCUAAGAUUGAUUAAAAUUAUUUUUUAAAAUAGAUAAUUUCGGAAAGUUAGGAGGAAUCUUUCAAAGCACAAAAUAAGCUUUGAAAAAUUGUUAAGGAGCAUUCUCUUACAUAACGCUUAAUUAAUUAAUUAAUUACUCUAUUUAGUUCAUAACAUUUAUAUACAGUAUUGCUUGACUCCUGAAAAAAACCUCAAACCACUUUACAAAAAAGUUAAAAUGAAAAUAAAUUCACUAAAGAAAACCUUUAUUUAAAACACAGAAAGUUGAAAUCACAAUAGGAUAGCUUAAAGCCAAUUAAAAGGCAUGUUAGCUUUCUACAGUUGCCAAGUGCUUGCUAGGAUGUGUCCUCGAUAUGUGUUUAUUUGAGUCAUAUGUCCUGUGAAUUUAUAAUCUGAUAAAGGACCAGUUGUAAUGACCAAAAGGUUGUUAUCUUUAGCUGACACGAGGCCUCAAUGUCCUUGAUUUAGGACCAUUCUCUCAAAACUGGAAAGAUGUCUGGAAUCUUACUCAAUUAUCUAAGAAAAACAAGACUAUGCCCCCCAAAAUAUCCAAAGUCAUGCAAAGCUUUGCUCAAUCAUAUACCCAGAAAUAUCCUGCAAUUAUUUUGUUUAAACAUAAUUUACUCUCAUCUCUUAUGGAGUUUGCACACAAGUCUGCUGUUUUCUCACAAAAUCCGGAUAUCAUGUUUUAUAAAGCUGGUGUUUUCUCUGCCAUUCUAGCUUCACACUUUCUUGAAAGAAAUUUGGUUUUCCAAUUCAUCCAUAGGAGGGAUGUAUUCUGAUCAGAAUGGGGAGCUGACUGCCAACUUUGAUAUCGUGAACUGGGUUGUAUUUCCCAAUAGAUCUCACAGCAGAAAGAAAGUUGGGAGCAUCGAGGGACAGGCAUCCUCCGGCAUAAAAUUCUCCAUUAAACCGGAAGCCAUUAUGUGGCCUGGGAACUUCAGCAAGGUCAUUGCAUUUAUCUGUUUAUUUAUCGUACUUAUAUCCCACCUUUUCUCUAUGGAGCUUCAUGG
RNAcentral lists this long non-coding RNA (7528 nucleotides) under Podarcis lilfordi (Lilford's wall lizard). The record is from RNAcentral. Lineage: Eukaryota; Metazoa; Chordata; Lepidosauria; Squamata; Lacertidae.